AGAUCAAAGUCCAAAUAAUCAUAACAUAACCCACAGAUUGCCAACAUAAAUCAAACUCAUUAUGUGUCAUAAUAUCUUGUGAUCUUUUCAUAUAUAAUCUCAAAAUUUAAAAAAAUUAUUGAGAUAACUUACACUAUAAUCAGUAUAAGCUUACGUCCCAAUAUCCGUAGUGUCUAUCCACCUAUACUCAUCUUAUAUCUAAUUCGAUCUGUCAUACUUUAUCUACUUAUACUCUGAUACCAUAUUAAUUGUCACAUCCCUGAUCCAAGAUCGUGAGCCAAGAAUUUUAGCAACUGCCGCAUACUCAUAAAAAGCUCUUUCUAUAAGUAUGCAAGGCAUCUUAUCAUGCUAUCAUAAAGUAAUAUCGAAAUAAUUAAUCAAUAAUUUAAGUCCAAAAUCUAAAUCUAGAUUUUAAUUUUAAUAUAUCAAUAAAUUUAAUAAUA
RNAcentral lists this long non-coding RNA (443 nucleotides) under Elaeis guineensis (African oil palm). RNAcentral's name for it is "long non-coding RNA (EGUI_LNC032801)". The record is from RNAcentral. Lineage: Eukaryota; Viridiplantae; Streptophyta; Magnoliopsida; Arecales; Arecaceae.